AUCCCACAUUGCUGUGGCUGUGGUGUAGGUGGCAGCUGCAGGUCCAAUUUGACCCCUAGCCUGGGAACGAACUUCCAUAUGCUGAGGGUUCGGUCCUAAAAAGACAAAAAAAACCAAAAAACCCAUAAACAAAAAAUCUAAGAGUGGAAUUAACUGGCUCAUAUGAUAAGUGUAUAUUUAACUUUAUGAGAAACUAGCAAACUAUUUGCCUGAGUGGUUGUACCAUUUUAUACUCUGACGAGCAACGUAUGAGGGUACUAGUUGCUGCAAAUCCUUGCCAAAGCUUGAUAUUAUAUAUGUUUUUCAUUAUAGCAUUCUGAUGGGUACAAAGUAGUAAGUAUCUCAUUGUGAUUUUAAUUUUUGAUGCAGUUCCAACUGGUAUUUUUUAAAUUUCAAUUUUCCUUUAUUUGUUGCUAGUAUAUAGAAAUGCAGUUAAAUUUUGUAUAUGACUUUGAAUCAAAGUCAUUUAGUUCUAGCAGUUGUUUCUUUUGUUUUUUCUUCGACCUACACCAGAGCUCACAGCAAGCCGGGUCCUUAACCAGCUGAGAGAGGCCAGGGAUUGAACCCUCAUAGUCAUGGAUACUAGUCGGGUUGGUUAACCACUGAGCCAUGAUGGGAACUCCCAAUGCCUUACUUUUUUUUUGUUGUUGUUGUUGCUUUUUUUAGGGCCACACCUGUGGCACAUGGAGGUUCCCAGGCCAGGGUCCAAUUGGAGCUACAGCUGCUGGCCUACACCAGAGCCACAGCAAUGCAGGAUCUGAGCCACGUCUGCACCCUACACCACAGCUCACGGCAAUGCCAGAUCCUUAACCCACUGAGCGAGGCCAGGGAUUGAACCCGCAAACUCAUGGUUCCUAGUCAGAUUCAUUAACCUCUGAGCCACGAUGGGAACUCCCCAAUGCCUUCUCUUGAUAGGCCUUUGCAUGCAUAUUAGGGUGGCAUGAAGUGUGAACCAUGAAUAUGAAGUUGAUAAAUACAGUUGCAGUAAUAAUUAUAUGUAAAAUUGGCAUGGCAGAUAGUAAAAAAGGUUAUUUUGCCAUUUGAGCUUGUGACAAUUUAGAAGGAAGGCCAUGUAGUCUAAAGAAUAAUAAAAUUUGGCUCUGGCCUCAAAGAAGCACUUCCUAAAACAAGGUUACAUUGAAAUAUAUUGGCAUUAUCUCUGGACACUUGUAAAGCCGUUUAACAAUUCGUUCACUGUACAAAUAUUUGGUGAGUGAGUGCCUAGCUGGUACUAGGCACUGUUUUGGUGUUUGGGAUACAUUAGUGAACAAAACAAAACCCUGUUUUGCUACAUUCUUGUUGGAAUUAAUAUUAAGCAUGAAAAUCUCGCUGUCUAUUUAGAGUGAACAGGGCUUUGGAGGAAAACGAGGUAGAUAGAGAAGGUAGAGGUGUAUAGAAAGUAUGUUUUGUUUUGUUUUUUUUGCUUUUUUUAGGGCUGCACCUAUGGCAUAUGGAGGUUCCCAGGCUAGAGUCUAAUCGGAGAUACAGCUGCUGGCUUAUGUCACAGCCACAGCAACGCCAUAUCCAAGCCGUGUCAGCGAACUGCACCACAGCUCAUAGCAAUGCUGGAUCCUUAAGCCACUGAAUGAGGCCGGGAAUGGAACCCGCAACCUCAUGCUUCAUGGUGGGAUUCAUUUCUGCUGAGCCAGGACGGGAACUCUGGAAGUUUUAAGACCCUUAUAGACUACUUGAUUAAAACUAGACAGUCAUCAGUGUCACCCCAAAAACCAAAUAGCAGGAAAAAAGGUCAAUUUAUAAAUUAUUCAAUCAAUGAUGAUCCUCUGAUGAGGAUUAUCUCAAGUUUACGUAGGUAUUCCCCAGUGAUUUUCUUCCCUAACCUGUCUUAUUUUCAAGAAGUUUUCAGAAGAAUGGUUCCAAGCAAACUACGCUAAUCCCUCACCAUAAAACAUCCUAUUUUCAUGGAAAAAGAUUCAGAUAUUUUCAGCAUCUUCAAACACAAAAUAGGAAGCAAAGGUCAGAGCCUUAAACAGUUGUAGAAUUGUUUAUUUUACCAUCUUGCUUAGAAAUGGUCGAUAUUUUGUUUGAGAUCAGUGAAGAAAAGGAAAUAGAAAAAGUGCCUCUAUGAGUAGUUCCACUUGUAGAGAUUGUAAAGUAUCAGAUGCCAUAGAAGCAAAACUAUACAGAUGACUAUUAAACCAUGCUUUUCUUUAUAGAUUUAUGAAUCAAUAGACAUUAGUAAAUGUGGCCAGCUAAUAGUACUGGUUAGAGUCCCUCAAGAGAAAUUCCUAGAACAUUGUUCUUUGCACAUCUGUCGAAACAAACUACUUGAAGUGAAAUAUUCAGAAUUGUAAAUGAUAUCUUUCCUCAGUUUGUGUAAAUGGUAGUGCUACUUUUUAGCAAGAGUUCACCUGAAAACCUUGAGUACAGGCACACAAAUUGUUUUAUCCAAUUUUGCAUAGAUGAAACUUAAUUUUGCCUGUAAACCUGGCUUCCAUAUUAAAUUACCUUUUCAAAAUGAUGACUCUAAUAGUAAUAACAAACACUUAAAAAUAAGACUCACUCAGACUUCUCUUGUGGCUCAGUGAGUUAAGGAUCUAGCAUUGUCGCUUGAUUUACUGCUGUGGCACUGGUUUGAUCCCUAGCCUGGGAACUUCCUCGUAUCACGGGUGCAG
RNAcentral lists this long non-coding RNA (2633 nucleotides) under Sus scrofa (pig). Its description in RNAcentral is "lncRNA (ENSSSCG00035068215.1)". Lineage: Eukaryota; Metazoa; Chordata; Mammalia; Artiodactyla; Suidae. The record is from RNAcentral.